AAGAGAAGAGAAAAGAAAAGAAAAGAAAGCAGCGGUAGCCGGGAGGGAUGAAUUUGGAUAUCAAGAAGUAUUACGAGCUAGGGCUGAAUGAAUUAGGGAUGAAUGAAGCAGAGGCAAAGGCAUAUCGAGCAAGACUAGACGCAACAACACAAGAAAUGUGGCAUGAUAGUGUGCCUGUGGAUCCAUCUGCUAAGUUGGAGAGGAUAGGGAUUAUUUAUUACCACACCCAAGGAGAAGAGAUGAGCUUGGAUAUGCUCUCGUCGAUUGUGAUGAUUUAAGUGAACCUGACCCUGACGAGCUCAUCACCUAUCCUGAUACUACUACAUCUGAAGAUGAAGAAGAAGCUGAUAAGAAGACAACGAAGAAGAAGAUGAUACAGUAAUGCGAUGGAUGAUACAUGAUAGAUGAUGACGAUGAUAUGUUUCUCUUCAACAUCAAGCACCAAACCUUGAGGAGCCAAAGCAGAAUACAUCUUCCCCCACGGCCAUGAGGAGCGACUUGAUUGAAACAUUGGCUGACAAGAAUCUGGAUCUAUCUGCAUCUACUGCUUCUGGGAUGGAUUUCGAUGUUUCCACGUAUGUGCCUGUUCGGAUGAGUGAAGCUCAGUUUAAGGAAUAUCGAGCAGCGGCAUUAGGAAUGUUUCGUCAUGAUAGUGAUCCUAUAUCCAGCUAAUAUGAGGAUGUCACGGCUCAUUUAUAGCCCAGUAACUCAUCAUUAUUGGCUAGAUUCCACAGAGAAAUAGUUGUGGCAAAAGAUGAGGAUGGAUAUGCUUGCCUCGAUUGUUCUGAUUAUUCAGAACCUGAUAAACCUGACAGGCUGUCCCACCUCCUCCAAGAGCUUCUGAAGAUGAAAAGGCUGAUAAGAAGAGGAAGAGGACGAAGAAGAUGAAGAAGAAGAAGAUAGAGGCACCAUGACUGAAGCGGAAGGAAGAUCCACUCUUGAGAAUCUUGUCGAGUCAACCUUCGUUGAGAACCUAGAUCAAUCAACUGCUCCUGUUAACAAUUAAAUCCACCCACUCAGGUUUUGUGUUAUGAGCAUGUAUGAUUGUAUUCUCACCUCUAGGGAUGGCUAUGGCCCAGUUUUAGGUAAUCCCAGUUUGGACACGGUUUUAAAACCAAUAACCAACUGCAACAGCUUAAGAGGAAGGUAUAAUUCCUUACUAUCAGUUUUAGAACUAAAGUGCCAAAUGAACGUAUAUAAUAUAACUAGCGAUUGGUUUCAAAAGAAGUAGUUUAUAGUUUUUGUUUCUA
Erigeron canadensis is the source of this 1250-nucleotide long non-coding RNA. RefSeq lists it as uncharacterized. The transcript is spliced from 7 exons. NCBI's taxonomy places the organism in Eukaryota, Viridiplantae, Streptophyta, Magnoliopsida, Asterales, Asteraceae. The record is from RefSeq and is a predicted model, not a curated record.